UCCCCGCCUGUCCUGUCCAAACGUUCGGCAUAAAACAUGUUAGAAGUCAACAUUAUGACAAGUAUUUUUUUAGCUAACAUUUGUUGUUUUCGGUGACGUGGAGGCAUAUCAGUGACGUCAUUUUUCCCCUUAAUGGCUGCCGUCUCUCAUGUGAUAGGACAAGGACGUUUAUUGGACAAAGUAUGGACAGAACUGUCAGAAAGGAUGGAAUACACAGUGAGGACAAAUGAGAAGAACGAGAAAAAAAAACUGAGACAGCCUCAACUCUAGCGCUUUUUUCUGAUCUUUUCUUUCACUCUUAACCUCAUAUCAACUUCAUUCUUGCUCUGUCUUUCUCACUCUUUUUCUGUCUCUCUCUCCGACCGCCUGUCUCUCAUUUAGUGCUGUCAGCAUACUGUCCAUACUUUCUCCUGCUCACGUUUUCGCUGGUAUUGGGAGGUAGCUUUUUACAUAGCAGGACAGGUGGUGAGUUGUUACCGUAGGUUUUUGGGGCCAUUUUAUCUGACCUGGCCAUUUUAGUCCAAUUUUUUUGAUAAUUCGCUCUUCUAUUAGUGCCGAGAACACUCCGGUAUUGAUGACAACGCUCUGCAUUUCUCUUCAUCCCCAUCACUUUCUCAUCUGUCCAUACCCCCACCCCCCCCUUUCUCUCAUUCUCAUCCUCAAAUUCUCAUGCACUGAAUCAGCUGCUUGGGAACGGACGCUCCCCCUGCCUCUUGGAUCCACAAACAAGCUUCCUCACCCUAGUUCAACGAUAUCCUUCUCCUGUCCUGAGCUUGGGAUUCUGGCACACACAGAAGUCUUGUCCUAAAAUGCUUUGCUAAAGCUGGUAAAAUGGAACCAAAUCAACUGUUUUAUGGAUUUGGUCCCCUUCAACCAGCUGUAGCUGUGCAUUGAUCACCCCGUAGAGCUGUGAUGAAGAAAGAGAGGUGUUCAAAAGCACAACACACAAUAUUUGAUUGCCCGUGAAGUUCAGAGUGCAGGACCAGCUGUUGAAUGCAUGUUCCUUUAAGUACUAAUAUCAUGAUUAAACACUCUUUGUCCUCUUAAAGCCCAGGUUAGCAUUAUAUAUGUCAUGUCACUUAUUAUUCAUGUGCUAUAAUAUUUGAUUAUGUAUUCAAGCCAAAUCACUAUCAUUGGAAAGAGGGCUCUGGGCUCUUUAUGGCCGCCCAUUGAUUUUUUGUCUCUUAGCUGAAAGAGUGAGGAGAUGGGAGAGUGAGCUGGGCUGGAUGGAUGUAGUGAACGAGGGAGUGUGUGUGUGUCAAGCUGCUGAAUAAGUAAAACAGUUGUUCCUUGUCUCACUCUUUUCCUUCUACACUUGUCGUGAUUCUUAAUGCACAUGGCUGAUCAAUAAAAGCUCAUCCUGAAGUUCAUAAA
Long non-coding RNA from Carassius carassius (crucian carp), 1374 nucleotides. RefSeq lists it as uncharacterized. The record is from RefSeq and is a predicted model, not a curated record. The transcript has 2 exons. Lineage: Eukaryota; Metazoa; Chordata; Actinopteri; Cypriniformes; Cyprinidae.